This 697-nucleotide ribosomal RNA is filed under the name Staphylococcus epidermidis. RNAcentral describes it as "bacterial SSU rRNA". It matches the Rfam family "Bacterial small subunit ribosomal RNA", at positions 81 to 765 of the family's 1533-position model. Lineage: Bacteria; Bacillati; Bacillota; Bacilli; Caryophanales; Staphylococcaceae. The record is from RNAcentral.
CUCCUCUGACGUUAGCGGCGGACGGGUGAGUAACACGUGGAUAACCUACCUAUAAGACUGGGAUAACUUCGGGAAACCGGAGCUAAUACCGGAUAAUAUAUUGAACCGCAUGGUUCAAUAGUGAAAGACGGUUUUGCUGUCACUUAUAGAUGGAUCCGCGCCGCAUUAGCUAGUUGGUAAGGUAACGGCUUACCAAGGCAACGAUGCGUAGCCGACCUGAGAGGGUGAUCGGCCACACUGGAACUGAGACACGGUCCAGACUCCUACGGGAGGCAGCAGUAGGGAAUCUUCCGCAAUGGGCGAAAGCCUGACGGAGCAACGCCGCGUGAGUGAUUAAGGUCUUCGGAUCGUAAAACUCUGUUAUUAGGGAAGAACAAAUGUGUAAGUAACUAUGCACGUCUUGACGGUACCUAAUCAGAAAGCCACGGCUAACUACGUGCCAGCAGCCGCGGUAAUACGUAGGUGGCAAGCGUUAUCCGGAAUUAUUGGGCGUAAAGCGCGCGUAGGCGGUUUUUUAAGUCUGAUGUGAAAGCCCACGGCUCAACCGUGGAGGGUCAUUGGAAACUGGAAAACUUGAGUGCAGAAGAGGAAAGUGGAAUUCCAUGUGUAGCGGUGAAAUGCGCAGAGAUAUGGAGGAACACCAGUGGCGAAGGCGACUUUCUGGUCUGUAACUGACGCUGAUGUGCGAAAGCGUGGG